This 2913-nucleotide long non-coding RNA is filed under the name Lotus japonicus. Its description in RNAcentral is "long non-coding RNA (LJAP_LNC001528)". The record is from RNAcentral. Lineage: Eukaryota; Viridiplantae; Streptophyta; Magnoliopsida; Fabales; Fabaceae.
GAGUCAUCGCCCAAAAUAUCUUUCUUGUUUUUCCCUACACCAUUAAAAGUUCUAAAGUCACGGUAUCGAUCUUCAUUUGUUGGUUUAUCAGAUUGAUUGACAAUGAGCCAGUCCUCUUCUUUCUGACAUUUAGUGAGGGAAGUUUCUAGGCCAGGCACAGUUGAAUCAGAUUAGCCACUUAAUUCUUCAUUUCUCCGAGAAAACAACAACUCCUCAUCUGUGCUAAUUUUUUUCUUGAUAGAUGAAGCUGCAUCCUUCCCUUCCUUAAAGUAUUCAACCCGAUUCCGGCCCUUGCUGUCCAAUUCUCUCCCAGCAACAACAAAGGAAUCAUCCUCAAAAUUCUUGUUCACAAUAUAUUCCUCCUGAAACUUAAUAGGCUGUUUUUCCGUAUCAGGGGUAGAAUCAUCAUCUCUCAAAAGGAGAUUCUGGAAAGCAUCCCAGUUGUUAUUGCCUUUUAUGCCAUUGGAAUCAGCAUCAUCUGAACCAAUUAGUUUGUCAGGAUGCUUUGCGCUAUGUUGUUUUUUAUGGUGACGGGAACUUGACUUGUGUCUUCUCUCCAGUGACACUACAGCUUCCUCUACCUGGUUUUUCAGGGAAUCUCCAUUGAUAAAUUCUUCCUCAUUGGACAAACUCCCCUCUGUGACACUACCUUUUUCACCAUCUCCAUUAGAGGUUAUAUAGUUUAUAUUGCGUAUAACUACUUUCCUCGAAGACUUCUUUCCGUGCUUCUUUUUGUGAAGAUUCUCUGUUGAAGAACUCUUUCUGCUUUCUGCCGCUGAAUCAGUAAUUCUUCCUUUCUCUUUCUAGUUUCUUCUUCCUGUUAACAAAAUUGGGCAGUAGAGGUGAACAACAGACUGGGAUGCUCAAAUUACUUGUGAAGUUUCAACUAAAAGCCAAACAAAAUACGAAGAAAAAGUUCCAUAUAUAUAUUCGGUGCUACGGAAAGUGUUGCUUUUUUUUUUCUGAGUCAUGCAAUGAAAGAACUUCUCAUGUGUACUUGGCAGAAAGAAAGUGUUGGUUUUAUUUGCCAUACAAUCAUAAUCUCCAAGACACAGGAAAAGAUGAAGUGGUGAACAUGAAACUUCUACUUCAUGGAAAUAUACAGGUAGCAGUUAAAAUCAAGAAAUAUCAAAGCAAUUGAAAACUCAUGACCCAGUUAGAAUUAUCAAAAUCACUUGCAGUUUGAUUUGAAAUGUGAGGCACAAGUGAACUCACUUAAGGUGAUAAAUUCCAAAAUCUACCAUCUUUAAACCAAAAUCUCAACAUCAAGAUUCAUGUGAGGACAGAUAAUGUUCAUUACAUAAUUAAGCGAUUUUGCUCCUAAUUUUCAUUUUCAGCCCACAACUUCCUUAGUUGAGUAUAAGAUAGAGUCUUCAGCAUAUUUGGCAAAUCGGCUUAACAAUUGAUAAAACAAACACUGCAAAUGGGAUGUGCAAAAUAAUUAUAGGUUAAAGUUUUAACAAUUCUUAUAACUUUGUGAGCUGUUUAGGCUAAGAAAACUUUUUUCUACCUUCUAUACCAAACUAACCAACAUUUGGUUGGUCCCAUAUCUAACAAAAAAAAUUAAGCAUUUCCAGAAGUGAAGUAAUGUUUAAAAUAUGCCUCUUUCUUUCACUUGAUCCUUCAAGAAAAUUGCUAAAUCAUAACAGUUAUUAAUUUACCUUAACAGUUUUGCUCUUCGUAACUGUAGUUCUGCUUCCAGGUGAUACUUUGCUUCUUGACAUGAUAUCGGAUUUGGUUUUCCCAAGGGAAGCAUUUUGAGCCUUAGACUUUGCAUCUUUACUUGAAACUUUCCCAGUUCGCACUCCAGGAGUUUUCGUACCAGCUCCCUUAGGAUUAGAUAGACUAUUUUUAUCAUUUCCAAUGUCAGAAAGCUUUUUAUUUUCUUUAUUUGAAGAAAUGUUAUUUUCAAGAUCCAUUUCCAUGGUCCACGGUGCUGCAGUCCGCUCUACAGCUGAAUCACGUUCGAGAACCAUGAAGAGAUCAUCUGGCUCGUGGGAAUUUAAGGUUCCAGUCUUAUUGUGUGAACCUUCUUGCUUGCUGUUUGUGAGUUCAGUAGCACCAACAAUGUCUGAAACCAUACUUAUGUCAGCUGCUGAUUGAGAAUGGAAUUGAUCUUCCGAUGAUCGUGAUUGAAUCAUGAAAGAGUCAUCGCCCAAAAUAUCUUUCUUGUUUUUCCCUACACCAUUAAAAGUUCUAAAGUUUCGGUAUCGAUCUUCAUUUGUUGGUUUAUCAGAUUGAUUGACAAUGAGCCAGUCCUCUUCUUUCUGACAUUUAGUGAGGGAAGUUUCUAGGCCAGGCACAGUUGAAUCAGAGUAGCCACUUAAUUCUUCAUUUCUCCGAGAAAACAACAACUCCUCAUCUGUGCUAAUUUUUUUCUUGAUAGAUGAAGCUGCAUCCUUCCCUUCCUUAAAGUAUUCAACCCGAUUCCGGCCCUUGCUGUCCAAUUCUCUCCCAGCAACAACAAAGGAAUCAUCCUCAAAAUUCUUGUUCACAAUAUAUUCCUCCUGAAACUUAAUAGGCUGUUUUUCCGUAUCAGGGGUAGAAUCAUCAUCUCUCAAAAGGAGAUUCUGGAAAGCAUCCCAGUUGUUAUUGCCUUUUAUGCCAUUGGAAUCAGCAUCAUCUGAACCAAUUAGUUUGUCAGGAUGCUUUGCGCUAUGUUGUUUUUUAUGGUGACGGGAACUUGACUUGUGUCUUCUCUCCAGUGACACUACAGCUUCCUCUACCUGGUUUUUCAGGGAAUCUCCAUUGAUAAAUUCUUCCUCAUUGGACAAACUCCCCUCUGUGACACUACCUUUUUCACCAUCUCCAUUAGAGGUUAUAUAGUUUAUAUUGCGUAUAACUACUUUCCUCGAAGACUUCUUUCCGUGCUUCUUUUUGUGAAGAUUCUCUGUUGAAGAACUCUUUCUGCUU